GGAUGCGAUCAUACCAGCAAUAAUGCACCGGAUCCCAUCAGAACUCUAAAGUUAAGCUUGCUUGGGCGAGAGCAGUACUAGGAUGGGUGACCUCUUGGGAAGUCAUCGUGUUGCACCCCUC
This 121-nucleotide ribosomal RNA is filed under the name Rosa chinensis. Lineage: Eukaryota; Viridiplantae; Streptophyta; Magnoliopsida; Rosales; Rosaceae. The record is from RNAcentral.